GUGGGGAAUAUUGCACAAUGGGGGAAACCCUGAUGCAGCCAUGCCGCGUGUGUGAAGAAGACCUUCGGGUUGUAAAGCACUUUCAGCGAGGAGGAAAGGUUGGUAGCUAAUAACUGCCAGCUGUGACGUUACUCGCAGAAGAAGCACCGGCUAACUCCGUGCCAGCAGCCGCGGUAAUACGGAGGGUGCAAGCGUUAAUCGGAAUUACUGGGCGUAAAGCGCACGCAGGCGGUUGGAUAAGUUAGAUGUGAAAGCCCCGGGCUCAACCUGGGAAUUGCAUUUAAAACUGUCCAGCUAGAGUCUCGUAGAGGGGGGUAGAAUUCCAGGUGUAGCGGUGAAAUGCGUAGAGAUCUGGAGGAAUACCGGUGGCGAAGGCGGCCCCCUGGACAAAGACUGACGCUCAGGUGCGAAAGCGUGGGGAGCAAACAGGAUUAGAAACCCCUGUAGUCC
Molecule: ribosomal RNA, 450 nt
Filed under: uncultured bacterium
Lineage: Bacteria
Description: partial 16S ribosomal RNA
Rfam family: Bacterial small subunit ribosomal RNA
Source: RNAcentral